RNAcentral lists this long non-coding RNA (210 nucleotides) under Homo sapiens (human). Its description in RNAcentral is "non-protein coding lnc-SUMF2-15:1". Lineage: Eukaryota; Metazoa; Chordata; Mammalia; Primates; Hominidae. The record is from RNAcentral.
ACAUUGAAGGAUGCGGCCAUAGAAUUAUCUUAGAAGGAGUGGGAAUGUCUGAAUCCUGCUCAGUGGAAUUUGUAUAGGGAUGUGAUGUUAGAAAACUACAGAAACCUGGUUUCCCUAGGUGGUCUUGCUGUCUCUAACCCUCAUCUGAUCUGCUGCCUUAAGCAAAUAAAAGAGCCCUGGAAUGUGAGGAGACGUGAGACAGUAGUCAAA